RNAcentral lists this long non-coding RNA (1090 nucleotides) under Sus scrofa (pig). RNAcentral's name for it is "lncRNA (ENSSSCG00035024958.1)". The record is from RNAcentral. Lineage: Eukaryota; Metazoa; Chordata; Mammalia; Artiodactyla; Suidae.
GUGGGCAAAGGAACACGGGCCCGGCCAGAUGUCCACCUCUGGAAGGCCCUUAGCCACCGAGGGCAGCCAGGAAAACAGGCCUGCCCUAAAGUGCGCCGCAUCUUGGACAUUUGGGCCAGUGGUCGUGGCAUUGUCUCCCUGCAGUGCUUCCAGCAUGUGGUUGCCGUGGAGGCUUACACUCGAGAAGCAUGUCUUGUGGAUGCUUUAGGGAUCCGGACCCUGACCAACCAGAAGCAAGGACACUACUACGGAGUAGUGGCUGACUGGCCACCCACCCGGCGCCGCCGCUUGGGGGUGCAUCUGCUGCACCGUGCCCUCCUUGUCUUCCUGGCUGAGGGUGAGCGAGAGCUACGGCCCCAGGACAUCCAGGCCCGUGGCCGAGCACUGGGGAAUUGGCUAUCCAGCCUUGGUAGAGAUCAGGGUGUCUGAAUGUUCCAGCUGCCCUGUACUGAGAGCAGCCCAUCUCCUGCUCCAGAAGGCUGGUGGGGGAACACCAGGCCAGAUGUCCCCCGGAACAGAGGAAAGACUUUUAUUACAUAUUGGAACUGCUGGAGAGGUAGUGACCUCCCUGUCAUGGGAUGAGAAUAAGGGUAUGUGGGGGGAGAAACAUACAUUUGGAACAUUCUGGUGCUUUGAAACAUGCCAGUGCUUUGGUAGUUUGAUUCUAUCUGGGCUUAUCUCCCAGACACAGGGGACCCAAAAUGUAGGCUGGCCUGAGGGCUUCCCCAGCCACCCAGCUCAAGAAGGGACUCUGCCCAGCUCAAGAGUCAGGCUUGGAGUUCCUGUUGUGGCACAGCGGGUUAAGACCACAGCGUAGUGUCUGUGAGGAUGCAGGUUUGAUCCCCAGCCUCACUCAGUGGGUUAAGGAUCCAGCGUUGCUGCAAGUUGUGGCAUAGGUCACAGAUGUGGCUCAGAUCUGGUGUUUCCACAGCUGUGGUUUAGGCUGGCAGUGCAGCUCCAGUUCGACCCCUGGCCCAAGAACUUCUGAAUGCCUCAGGCGUGGCAUUAAAAACAGCAACAACAACCAAAAAAAGGCAGGUUUUGCUGCUUCCCAGCUGUGUGGAACCUCGGACCAGUAAUUUCUCUGAGG